Molecule: ribosomal RNA, 430 nt
Filed under: Bacteroidota bacterium
Lineage: Bacteria; Pseudomonadati; Bacteroidota
Description: Bacteroidetes bacterium partial 16S ribosomal RNA
Rfam family: Bacterial small subunit ribosomal RNA
Source: RNAcentral
UAGGGAAUCUUCGGCAAUGGGGGGAACCCUGACCGAGCAACGCCGCGUGAGUGAAGAAGGUUUUCGGAUCGUAAAGCUCUGUUGUUAAGGAAGAACGAGUGUGAGAAUGGAAAGUUCAUGCUGUGACGGUACUUAACCAGAAAGGGACGGCUAACUACGUGCCAGCAGCCGCGGUAAUACGUAGGUGGCAAGCGUUGUCCGGAUUUAUUGGGCGUAAAGCGAGCGCAGGCGGUCAAUUAAGUCUGAUGUGAAAGCCCCCGGCUCAACCGGGGAGGGUCAUUGGAAACUGGUUGACUUGAGUGCAGAAGAGGAGAGUGGAAUUCCAUGUGUAGCGGUGAAAUGCGUAGAUAUAUGGAGGAACACCAGUGGCGAAAGCGGCUCUCUGGUCUGUAACUGACGCUGAGGCUCACAAGCGUGGGGAGCGAACAGG